AUUGAACGCUAGCGGCAGGCUUAACACAUGCAAGUCGAGCGAGCGGCGGACGGGUGAGUAAUGUAUGGGGACUGCCCGAUAGAGGGGGAUAACUACUCGAAACGGUGGCUAUUACCGCAUACCAUCUUAUAACCCAUAUGGGAUUAGCUAGUAGGUAAGGUAAUGGCUGACCAAGGCGACGAUCCCUAGCUGGUCUGUGAGGAUGGUCAGCCAAACUGGGACUGAGACACGACCCAGACUCCUACGGAGGCAGCAGUGGGGAAUAUUGGACAAUGGGCGCAAGCCGGAAGCAGCCAGGCCGCGUGUAUGAAGAAGGCCCUAGGGUUGUAAAGUACUUUCGGUCGAGAAGCGGUACCGGCAGAAGAAGCACCGGCUAACUACGUGCCAGCAGCCGCGGUAAUAC
RNAcentral lists this ribosomal RNA (403 nucleotides) under uncultured bacterium. Its description in RNAcentral is "partial 16S ribosomal RNA". It matches the Rfam family "Bacterial small subunit ribosomal RNA", at positions 30 to 526 of the family's 1533-position model. The record is from RNAcentral.